Molecule: ribosomal RNA, 460 nt
Filed under: uncultured bacterium
Lineage: Bacteria
Description: partial 16S ribosomal RNA
Rfam family: Bacterial small subunit ribosomal RNA
Source: RNAcentral
CCUACUGGAGGCAGCAGUGAGGAAUAUUGGUCAAUGGGCGCGAGCCUGAACCAGCCAAGUAGCGUGAAGGAUGACUGCCCUACGGGUUGUAAACUUCUUUUAUAAAGGAAUAAAGUGAGGCACGUGUGCCUUUUUGUAUGUACUUUAUGAAUAAGGAUAGGCUAACUCCGUGCCAGCAGCCGCUGUAAUACGGAUGAUCCGAGCGUUAUCCGGAUUUAUUUGGUUUAAAGGGAGCGUCGAUGGGUUGUUAAGUCAGUUGUGAAAGUUUGCUGCUCAACCGUAAAAUUGCAAUUGAUACUGGCAGUCUUUCGUACAUUUGAGGUAGGCGGAAUUCGUGGUGUCGCGGUGAAAUGCUUAGAUAUCACGAAGAACUCCGAUUGCGAAGGCAGCUUACUAAACUGCCACUGACAUUGAUGCUCGAAAGUGUGGGUAUCAAACAGGAUUAGAUACCCGUGUAGUC